Molecule: ribosomal RNA, 257 nt
Filed under: uncultured bacterium
Lineage: Bacteria
Description: partial 16S ribosomal RNA
Rfam family: Bacterial small subunit ribosomal RNA
Source: RNAcentral
UACAGAGGUCCCGAGCGUUGUUCGGAUUCACUGGGCGUAAAGGGUGCGUAGGUGGUUGUGCAAGUCUGAUGUGAAAUCUCCGGGCUUAAACCCCGGAAAAUGGCAUUGGAAACUGCAUGGCUAGAGGGUUGGAGGGGGGGACUGGAAUACUUGGUGUAGCAGUGAAAUGCGUAGAUAUCAAGUGGAACACCAGUGGCGAAGGCGAGUCCCUGGACAACACCUGACACUGAGGCACGAAAGCUAGGGGAGCAAACAGG